Molecule: ribosomal RNA, 506 nt
Filed under: uncultured bacterium
Lineage: Bacteria
Description: partial 16S ribosomal RNA
Rfam family: Bacterial small subunit ribosomal RNA
Source: RNAcentral
AGUGAACGCUGGCGGUAGGCCUAACACAUGCAAGUCGAACGGCAGCACAGGAGAGCUUGCUCUCUGGGUGGCGAGUGGCGGACGGGUGAGGAAUACAUCGGAAUCUACUUUUUCGUGGGGGAUAACAUAGGGAAACUUACGCUAAUACCGCAUACGACCUACGGGUGAAAGCAGGGGACCUUCGGGCCUUGCGCGAUUGAAUGAGCCGAUGUCGGAUUAGCUAGUUGGCGGGGUAAAGGCCCACCAAGGCGACGAUCCGUAGCUGGUCUGAGGGGGUGAUCAGCCACACUGGAACUGAGACACGGUCCAGACUCCUACGGGAGGCAGCAGUGGGGAAUAUUGGACAAUGGGCGCAAGCCUGAUCCAGCCAUACCGCGUGGGUGAAGAAGGCCUUCGGGUUGUAAAGCCCUUUUGUUGGGAAAGAAAUCCAGCUGGCUAAUACCCGGUUGGGAUGACGGUACCCAAAGAAUAAGCACCGGCUAACUUCGUGCCAGCCGCCGCCGUAA